GACGAGGACACCGCAGUUUUUUGUUUGGAGUUGCUUAUUGCAAUUACCCUGAAUAAUAGAGACCGAAUUGGACUCCUCUGGCAGGGUGUCUAUGAGCACAUAGCUAACAUUGUUCAGUCAACUGUAAUGCCAUCCGCCCUGGUUGAGAAGGCUGUCUUUGGGCUCCUCCGUAUUUGUCAGAGGCUGCUCCCAUAUAAAGAGAACUUGGCUGAUGAACUUUUGAGAUCACUCCAACUGGUUCUCAAACUUGAUGCGAGGGUUGCAGAUGCAUACUGUGAGCAAAUAACCCAGGAAGUUAGUCGUCUGGUGAAGGCAAAUGCUACUCACAUCAGAUCACAACUGGGAUGGCGAACUAUUGCAUCGUUACUUUCUAUUACAGCUAGACACCCUGAAGCUUCUGAAUCAGGGUUUGAUGCCCUGUUGUUUAUUAUGUCAGAUGGAGCCCACUUAACUCCAGCGAAUUAUGUUCUUUGUAUAGAUGCAGCAAGGCAGUUUGCCGAGUCUCGAGUUGGACAGGCUGAUAGAUCUGUUCGCGCGAUAGACCUUAUGGCAGGUUCUGUUGCUUGUUUAACACGGUGGGAUGAAGAUGCCAAGGGAGCUAUGGCUGAGGCAGAAGCCUUGAAACUGUCACAGGAGAUAGGAGAGAUGUGGCUGAGGCUUGCCCAGGCAUUAAGAAAAGUAUGUCUGGAUCAGAGAGAGGAGGUGAGAAACCAUGCACUUUUAUCACUGCAAACGUGCUUGACAGGAGUGGAGGGGAUUCAUCUUCCGCAUGCUUUAUGGUUGCAGUGUUUUGAUAUGGUCAUAUUCACUAUGCUUGAUGACUUGACUGAAAUAGCACAGGGACAUUCCCAGAAAGACUACAGAAACAUGGAAGGAACACUCGUCCUUGCCCUGAAACUCUUGACUAAAGUGUUUUUGCUAUUGCUUCAUGAGCUGUCACAGUUGACGACCUUCUGCAAAUUGUGGUUGGGGGUGCUUAGUCGGAUGGAAAAGUAUAUGAAGGUGAAAGUCAGAGGGAAAAAAAGUGAAAAGCUUCAGGAAUUGGUACCAGAGCUACUGAAGAGUACCUUGCUUGUCAUGAAGACAAAGGGGGUGCUUGUACAGAGGAGCGCUCUUGGAGGAGACAGCUUGUGGGAGCUAACAUGGUUGCACGUGAAUAAUAUCGUUCCUUCUCUGCAAUCCGAAUUGUUCCCUGGUAAUGAAUUAGAGCAGUCCGACAGUAAACUCGGUGAAAUGGGUAAAAAUACAUUGCCAAACGAAACUGGUUCUGCUUAAGAGGAAUGGCUUCCAUGAUCCGUUACUGUGUUUGCAUUGUUUUGCUCUCAUGAUUAAGCUUGCAAGGUAUUACAAUCUAGAUUAGAGUUUAGGGUUUUCGUAAACUUACACUUGCUGU
Molecule: long non-coding RNA, 1393 nt
Filed under: Coffea arabica (coffee)
Lineage: Eukaryota; Viridiplantae; Streptophyta; Magnoliopsida; Gentianales; Rubiaceae
Description: long non-coding RNA (CARA_LNC007622)
Source: RNAcentral